Molecule: ribosomal RNA, 256 nt
Filed under: uncultured bacterium
Lineage: Bacteria
Description: partial 16S ribosomal RNA
Rfam family: Bacterial small subunit ribosomal RNA
Source: RNAcentral
UACGUAGGGUCCGAGCGUUGUCCGGAAUUACUGGGCGUAAAGAGCUCGUAGGUGGUUUGUCGCGUUGUUCGUGAAAAACUCACAGCUCAACUGUGGGCGUGCGGGCGAUACGGGCAGACUAGAGUACUGCAGGGGAGACUGGAAAUUCCUGGUGUAGCGGUGGAAUGCGCAGAUAUCAGGAGGAACACCGGUGGCGAAGGCGGGUCUCUGGGGCCGUAACUGACGCUGAGGAGCGAAAGCGUGGGGAGCGAACAGG